Molecule: long non-coding RNA, 38261 nt
Filed under: Hordeum vulgare
Lineage: Eukaryota; Viridiplantae; Streptophyta; Magnoliopsida; Poales; Poaceae
Description: long non-coding RNA (HVUL_LNC013913)
Source: RNAcentral
GGUCACCGCCGCCGGGGAUGUGGAUGCACGUGGGUCUGUCGGUCGCUGGCAGACGAGGUCGCGUGUGCGUGGAGCACUGGUCUCCUCCCUGCCGUUGUCGACCUCCCUGUUGCCAGUGACAGAGAUCAACUGUUGGUGGACCGACCGCUGGCAAACGAGAUCGCAUGAGCGUGGACGCACAACGGAGAUUAACAGUAGCCGGCAGGAGAUCAAUUGUUGUUUGUUUUCUCUAUCUCACAUAGGAAAGCUCUUGAUUCACCAAAAUGCUCAAUCAUGUGCAUAUUUGCUACCCUGUUAGGAAAGAAUGAUAUAAAACUGAAUUGCAAACAUCUGUAGUAGAUCAUCCAGCAUAAAGGGUUGUGGAUGUCCUAUUGCUGCAUGAACAGAACCAAUGAUGUUUUGCAAGUAAUUUCUUUUUUGUGGCAUCAACACGAGGAUGGUAUACAUAAUUGAGAACAUCAUGUGUUCAUAAUAUAUUUUGUGAUAGCAACUCAACCAAGGAUGCUUAUGGCAAGUUUAAUCGCAAUAUAAAUCAAUUGGUUUGGAAACACACCUGCUAAAAAAUAGUUUGUUAUUUUUUUCUUAAAAUCUUCAACCUACUAUGUGAAGCAGUUCUCCUUUGUAUUAUAUCUGAGAUCCAUCUGGCUUAUAUCUGAUUUUAGUGAUAUAGAAAUCAAAAUUGAUUUUUGAUUUAUUCACUCUUUUGUAAGCACUUAUCUUUAGAUGACACAUUUUAUUGUUCUGGUGUUCCGUUUUACUAUGAGGUUUGAUUUUAUCAACCUAAUUCAGUCUUUCUUUUGCAAAUUAUUUACAAAAGAAAAUGGUUAGGGAUGAAGAGUUGAAGGUCUGAAGCCAAAUGUUCCUAAUCAGGAAAAUGACUGGCUCAAUUCCUUUGAAACAAGGCCAACGCUAUGUCCCAAUAUUAAAUAUUGCAACCAUGUUUAAUUGGUCUAAUAUCGUAUAGCAAUGUAUGCUUCAUGCAUGCACUUUUUAUCAUUCAUUUUUAUUAUUCAAAAUCUCUAUAUGAUCAUCAUAGAUGUUGCUAUUACAUGGAUUUAUUAGUAUUUUUCAUGUGUUGUAUGGAUGUUACUUAAUCUCAAUAUGAAAACAGAAUUUAGUACCCACACAAAUUUCAUAAGAUGCUUUGAUCGAUACGUGCGUUGCACGUGCAUGGUUACUAGUGCUGGAAAAGACAGAAACUUUCUGCUCACGAAAAGAAUUUUCAUUUUUUUUCUGUAAGAGCUUUUGAGUUUAUUCUUUUUUCUGCUGAUUGCUACGCAAAUUCUUCAGACUGUCGUAAUAUUUCAGAAUUUUUGAAGUAACAGAGGUAUACGAAAUAUACAGAUUGCUACAGACUGGUCUGUUGUUAACAGAUUCUGUUUUUGUUGUGUUGGUUGCUUAUUUUGAUGAAACUAUGGAUAGUAUCGGGGGGUAUUAGCCAUUGUAACAUCCCAAAAUUAUAAACUUUGGAUUGUUAAUAUAAUUAUUAGAUUGAGAGUUUGUCUGUUUGAGUGAUUGAAACUUGAGUGGAAUUUGAAACUUUUUUAAAACUUUUGAAAGAGAGGGAAUAAAAUGACUUUCCCAUUUUCUUUUAAAUUCAAAUUCAUCGAAUUAAAAUCAGUGAGAGAAGAUAACAUGACUUCUUCAACUAUAAAGAAUUUGAAUGAAUGUGGCAUUUGAUUUUUUUCCUUUGGUUUUUGAUUUGAAUUUUAUUUUUGGCACAAGAUUUCAACCAUAAUUUUUUUUCCUGACAAUAUACUUGCCAAGCAAGAAAGAGAGGAGGUAACAUGACACAAAAAAAAAGUCAGAAGAAAAAUAGUGCCAAAAAUUUAAAGACAAAAUUUGGAUUUUAUUGAAUUUUUAAAAAAUAAUUUUUUAUAAAGUUUUUAUUUUGUGAAAAAUAAAAUGUUCAUGUUGUACGAAAUUUUAUUCUGAAAAUUUUGAUAUAUAAUAUGCCUAUAUAAAAUAUUCUCUUAAUUUCAUUUAUAUUUGUUUUCGCUGUUUAUUUUGAAAAAAAUAAAAAAAGACACUAUUCACCAGGAAACACUAUUCAUCCGAGCUUGCCUAUGGGCUGGCCGAAAUUUACUUGGCCCAUGGGCAUUUGAUCCCUCCUUUUCUCCUCUUUACGUAUAUGUUUAGUCCCACAUUGCCUAGCUAUUGACCUUUAGACCUUCUUUCCACCUAUAAAUAUAGACCCGUAGGAGCAUCCAAAAAUCAUCUAUUUCGGGUUAAAUUAAUCUUUUGGUUUGACUAGGUUUAUUAAAUAAAAAUAUUCUCUUCUCUUCGGCGGGAUUUCUCGAAGUCGUCUCCUUAUUGGAAUUAAUUCUCACUCUGCAUUUUAAAGGUAUUUCUCUUCGUAUUUUUUUUAUACUCCCGUAGUUUAUUAUUUCUAGACUAGUAUUCCUACACUAGUAUAUGGUAGAGUAAUUAGAUAUAUUAAUUAGUCUUCUUAUUUCCACAUUAGUACUAGAAUUCUUUUAGACGUAGCACUUUUAUUCCGUAAAACAGCUUUGCCCUGAUUUUUCAAAUAGUCAUAACUUUUUACUCGUUUAUCCGAAUUAGAUGAAACCAACGCCUAGAGUUUCGUCUUGAUCCCACCUAUCCUGUGAACCUAUCAUAUCAACUUUUUGAAAUUUUCAAAUUUCGAAAUUUGUUCAUAUUCAUAUUCAAACUUCUUUUGAUCAUAUCUUUUUAUCCGUAGCUCCGCUUUAGAUGAAUUCAAUUGCGUCGGAUUCGUAUCAAAGUAAUCUUUUCGUUUGUAUCAUUAGUUUUAAAUUUUCAACUUAUAAUUUUGAUCAAAUCAGAUUUAUCUAUUAGUGCCCAAAAAUGUUCACAUCGUUCUAAGUUGAUUCAAUGUUAUAUUGAAGUAUUUGUAUAUUUUGAUCCGCUAGUUCAAAUCUAGUAAUUCUUUUUUCUACACGCUCAUAUUGAUCUCCUAUAACACUGAUUCCAAUUGCUACAUAUCUAGUUAGACAAACUUCACGUCAAGUAGCAUCAAUAUAAAAUUGAAGGUGCAUACUGACUGUACCUCGAAACAUAGAUCAACAAUGAGUCUUGUGUAAAUUGACAAUGGGUGUUUGGUUUAUUAUGUCACUCUUGAGGUGAGUUUUGUUUACUACUAAUGCUAGCAUUUUUACAGCCUCGUUUAUGAGAGGGAGUAUGGGGUGGUGAGCCUUUUUCCUUUGUGUUUCUAAAGGUGUGAGUGCUUAAGAGGUUCUUCAUGUUGCAGUGAGAUAUAAAGAUCCAUCAAAUAAAAUGAAUAUCAUAUACUAGAAUUGUUAACGAUAAGAGAUUUUACUACGUUCAACAAUACAAACACGAGUAGGUACAUCAGUUUUAGAACACCUACUAAUAAUUAUCCUAUAAUGUACUAAUAGCAAGUAGUGUUUCUAAUGAUCUUCCUACCUCUCACAACUUCAGUUGAAGUGAACUUCACCAGUGGAACGCAGUCCAAUCUCUUACAUCAGCUGUUUCGGAAAGAUCUUCAAGCUCCGUCUGACAUGAUGUUUUGUAUCAGUCAAAACAGUGGUAUAAAAGCUAUUAAAAAUACAAGUUCUGAGAGCUAUAAUCUAAAAAAGCUGCACUGUUGUAUUGAUCACCAAUAAUGGUCAUAAGUUUCAAACACACGCAAUGUAUAGUGGCUUGGCUUGCAGCAAAACCAAGGCACAUAAGAUAUAUGUCUCUUUUAUUUUACGUAUCUAAAAAGUCAUUUCACAUCGAUAAAAAUAUAUUAGGUAAUGACCGCAACUGGCGAUGUGCAUUUCUAACAUAGCAUAUAUAUUACUCCACUACAGCACAAAUUGGCUCUAGAUUAAAAUUACUGCAGCAAUGCACAGGUCCAAUUAUAGUCUAAUCCAUGUGUGGGCAGGCAUAAUUUACAGCAAUGAUGUUGUUGUUGUUUUUGUGGGGGGGCAUUGAUUUUGUUAGAUUCCAUGCUAACAGAAAAAAGGAAGGCAGAAAGCAAUACAAAGAAGGGAACACUAAUUGUUAACAUUACAUUUAAUUCACUUGCAUAUCAAGGUAUUUGCCCCCGCAUAAAUGUUAAAAAUAAGCAUUUUAGUAGAGUAAAAGAACACUAACAGAGAUGUAGGAGUUGCAUGCAGAACUAACCUCGAAAUAAGUAGGCAAACUUUCCGGCUUGAUGUCCAUGUAAAUUGUCUGCUUCUUGUGACAGUAUGCCAGAGCACCAGCAAGAAUUGCAACCCACUGGAACAAAAGGAGAAUGAAUCAAAUCAAUAGACAAUUCAGCACAAAAGAAAAGCAACACAUAUGUCCAUCAUUUUUGUUAUCCUAGGGUGGUAAGGUAGCAUGAGUUCUUGGCCUAUAUUGCAGUAUAUCAAAAACUGAGUACGUGUCAUGCUAAAGCAGACUAUUGUUUGACCCAUUCCUGUUCAGAACAAUGAAAUGUGAUUUAUUGCAUCACUCUUGAGUCUUGAGGUGGGUUUUGUGUACUGAAGAUGUUAGAUUUUGUUUUUCACCCUCCUAUAUGAAAGAGGGGUGAGGCUUUUGCCUUACGUUUGUAAAGAUGCUCUAGAGUGCUUAAGAAGCCAUCCAUGUUGCAGUUAGAUACAGAGAUCAAUCAAACCCAAAUGAAAUGAAUACCUUAUUUACUAGAACUGUUAACAAUCAGACACUUUCCUACUUUCACCAAUGCAUGGGAAACCAACAUGACUAAACAUCUAAGUAGUUGGCACGAAAAAUCUAACAUUAGACUUGUAUCAGUCAAACAGUAGGUGGAAAACUACAGAUUAUACACAAGUAUCAUUAGACUUGUAUCAUUCAAACAGUAGUUAGAAAACUACAGAUUAUACACAAGUAUCAUGCGCAAAAUGUGCGAACAAAUCUUUAGACCGAAUAUAGCUACAGUGUACAUUGAGACAGUUAAUUAUAGUCGAGACUUGAUCAAACACUGAUUCCAAUUGCUACAUAUCUAGCUAGACAAACUUCACGUCAAGUAGCAUACUAGAAUCAAUACAACAUUGAAGGUGCUGUUGGGGAACGUCGCAUGGGAAACAAAAAAUUUACUACGCGCAGGAAGACCUAUCAUGGUGAUGUCCAUCUACGAGAGGGGAUGAGUGAUCUACGUACCCUUGUAGAUCGUACAGCAGAAGCGUUAGUGAACGCGGUUUAUGUAGUGGAACGUCCUCACGUCCCUUGAUUCGCCCCGCGAACAAUCCCGCGAUCAGUCCCACGAUCUAGUACCGAACGGACGACACCUCCGCGUUCAGCACACGUACAGCUCGACGAUGAUCUCGGCCUUCUUGAUCCAGCAAGAGAGACGGAGAGGUAGAAGAGUUCUCCGGCAGCGUGACGGCGCUCCGGAGGUUGGUGAUGACCUUGUCUCAGCAGGGCUCCGCCCGAGCUCCACAGAAACGCGAUCUAGAGGAAAAACCGUGGAGGUAUGUGGUCGGGCUGCCGUGGAAAAGUCGUCUCAAAUCAGCCCUAAAACCUCCGUAUAUAUAGGUGGGAGGGAGGGGAGGAGGCAGCCUCAAAACCUAAAGGUUUGGCCGAAAUUGGAGGUGGAGGAGUCCUACUCCAAUCCUACUUGGAGUAGGAUUCCACCUUCCCACUUGGAAACUCUUUCCACCUUGUGUUUUUUUUCCUUCUCAAACCUUAUGGGCCUUAGUGGGAACUUAUUCCAGCCCACUAGGGGCUGGUUUAUCUCUUCCCAUAGCCCAUGAGACCCCUUGGGGCGUGACACCCCUCCCGAUGGUCCCCGGCACCCCUCCCGGCACUCCCGGUACACUACCGAUGAGCCCGAAACUUUUCCGGUAAUGCACGAAAACCUUCCGGUAACCAAAUGAGGUCAUCCUAUAUAUCAAUCUUCGUUUCCGGACCAUUCCGGAAACCCUCGUGACGUCCGUGAUCUCAUCCGGGACUCCGAACAACAUUCGGUAACCAACCAUAUAACUCAAAUACGCAUAAAACAACGUCGAACCUUAAGUGUGCAGACCCUGCGGGUUCGAGAACUAUGUAGACAUGACCCGAGAGACUCCUCGGUCAAUAUCCAAUAGAGGGACCUGGAUGCCCAUAUUGGAUCCUACAUAUUCUACGAAGAUCUUAUCGUUUGAACCUCAGUGCCAAGGAUUCAUAUAAUCCCGUAUGUCAUUCCCUUUGUCCUUCGGUAUGUUACUUGCCCGAGAUUCGAUCGUUAGUAUCCGCAUACCUAUUUCAAUCUCGUUUACCGGCAAGUCUCUUUACUCGUUCCGUAAUACAAGAUCCCGCAACUUACAUUAAGUUACAUUGCUUGCAAGGCUUGUGUGUGAUGUUGUAUUACCGAGUGGGCCCCGAGAUACCUCUCCGUCACACGGAGUGACAAAUCCCAGUCUCGAUCNNNNNNNNNNNNNNNNNNNNNNNNNNNNNNNNNNNNNNNNNNNNNNNNNNNNNNNNNNNNNNNNNNNNNNNNNNNNNNNNNNNNNNNNNNNNNNNNNNNNNNNNNNNNNNNNNNNNNNNNNNNNNNNNNNNNNNNNNNNNNNNNNNNNNNNNNNNNNNNNNNNNNNNNNNNNNNNNNNNNNNNNNNNNNNNNNNNNNNNNNNNNNNNNNNNNNNNGGACUCCGAACAACAUUCGGUAACCAACCAUAUAACUCAAAUACGCAUAAAACAACGUCGAACCUUAAGUGUGCAGACCCUGCGGGUUCGAGAACUAUGUAGACAUGACCCGAGAGACUCCUCGGUCAAUAUCCAAUAGCGGGACCUGGAUGCCCAUAUUGGAUCCUACAUAUUCUACGAAGAUCUUAUCGUUUGAACCUCAGUGCCAAGGAUUCAUAUAAUCCCGUAUGUCAUUCCCUUUGUCCUUCGGUAUGUUACUUGCCCGAGAUUCGAUCGUUAGUAUCCGCAUACCUAUUUCAAUCUCGUUUACCGGCAAGUCUCUUUACUCGUUCCGUAAUACAAGAUCCCGCAACUUACACUAAGUCACAUUGCUUGCAAGGCUUGUGUGUGAUGUUGUAUUACCGAGUGGGCCCCGAGAUACCUCUCCGUCACACGGAGUGACAAAUCCCAGUCUCGAUCUAUACUAACUCAACGAACACCUUCGGAGAUACCUGUAGAGCAUCUUUAUAGUCACCCAGUUACGUUGCGACGUUUGAUACACACAAAGCAUUCCUCCGGUGUCCGUGAGUUAUAUGAUCUCAUGGUCAUAGGAACAAAUACUUGACACGCAGAAAACAGUAGCAACAAAAUGACACGAUCAACAUGCUACGUCUAUUAGUUUGGGUCUAGUCCAUCACAUGAUUCUCCUAAUGAUGUGAUCCCGUUAUCAAGUGACAACACUUGCCUAUGGCCAGGAAACCUUGACCAUCUUUGAUCAACGAGCUAGUCAACUAGAGGCUUACUAGGGACAGUGUUUUGUCUAUGUAUCCACACAAGUAUUGUGUUUCCAAUCAAUACAAUUAUAGCAUGGAUAAUAAACGAUUAUCAUGAACAAAGAAAUAUAAUAAUAACUAAUUUAUUAUUGCCUCUAGGGCAUAUUUCCAACAGUCUCCCACUUGCACUAGAGUCAAUAAUCUAGUUCACAUCACCAUGUGAUUCCAACGAAUCCAACACCCAUAUAGUUAUGGGGUCUGAUCACGUCUUGCUCGUGAGAGAGGUUUUAGUCAACGGUUCUGAAACUUUCAGAUUCGUGCGUUCUUUACAAAUGUUUAUGUCAUCUUAUAGAUGCUGCUACUACGUGCUAUUCGGAAAUGCUCCAAAUAUCCACUCUACUAUACGAAUCCGUUUCACUACUCAUAGUUAUCCGGAUUAGUGUCAAAGCUUGCAUUGACAUAACCCUUUACGACAAACUCUUUAACCACCUCCAUAAUCGAGAAAAAUUCCUUAGUCCAUUAGUUACUAAGGAUAAAUUUCGACCGCUGCUAGUGAUUCAAUCAUGGAUCACUCUCUGUACCUCUCAACAGACUUUGAGUCAAGGCACACUUCAGGUGCGGUACACAGCAUGGCAUACUUUAGAUUCUACGGCUAAGGCAUAGAAGACGACCUUCGUCUAUUCUAUUUAUUCUGCCGUGGUCGGGUUUUGAGUCUUACUCAAAUUCACACCUCACAACGCAACCAAGAACUCCUUCUUUGUUGGUCUAUUUUGAACUCUUUCAAAAACUUGUCAAGGCAUGCAUCUUGUUGAAACUUCUAUUAAGCGCUUUCGAUCUAUCUCCAUAGAUCUUUGAUGCUCAACGUUCAAGUAGCGUAAUCCAGGUACUCCUUUGAAAACUUCUUUCAAACAACCUUGUAUGCUUUACAGAAAUUCUACAUUACUUCUGAUCCACAAUAUGUCAACCACAUAUACCUAUCAGAAAUUCUAUAGUGCUCCCACUCACUUCUUUGGAAAUACAAGUUUCUCAUAAACCAUGUACAAACUCAAAAUCUUUGAUCAUCUCAUCAAAGUGUAUAUUCCAACUCCGAGAUGCUUGCACCAGUGCAUUGAAGGAUCACUGGAGCUUGCAUACUUGCUAGUAUCUUUAGGAUCGACAAAACCUUCUGGUUGUAUCACAUACAAUGUUUGCUCAAGGAAACCGUCGAGAAAACAAUGUUUUGACAUCCUACGUGCAAUAUUUCAUAAAUAAUGCAUCAACAACUAACAUAACUCUAACAAACUUUUAGCAUCGCUACGAGUGAGAAAGUCUCAUCAUAGUCAACUGUUUGAUCUUAUCGAAAACAUCUUUGCGACAAGUCGAGCUUUUCUUAAUAGUGACUUAUCACCAUCAUCGUCUGUCUUCUUUUAAAGAUCCAUUUUUACUCAAUAGUCAUAUGACCAUCAAGUAGUUCUACCAAAGUCUACACUUUGUUUUCACACAUGGAUCCUCUCUCGGAUUUCAUGGCUUCCAGCCAUUUGUCGUAAUCUGGGCCCACCAUCGCUUUCUCCAUAACUCGUAGGUUCAUUGUUGCUUAACAACAUGACCUCCAAGACAGGGUUACCGUACCACUCUGCAGUAGUACGCGACCUUGUCAACCUACGAGGCUUGUAGUAACUUGAUCCUGAUGCUCGAUGAUCACCAUCAUCAGCUUGCACUUCAAUUGGUGUAGGCGCCACGGGAACAACUUCCUGCGCCCUGCUACACACUGGUUGAAGUGAUGGUUCAAUAACCUCAUCAAGUUCUACUACCCUCCCACUCAAUUCUUUCGAGAGAAACCUUUCCUCGAGAAAGGAUCCGUUUCUAGAAACAAACACUUUGCUUUCGGAUCUGAGAUAGGAGAUGUACCCAACUGUUUUGGAUAUCCUAUGAAGAUGCAUUUAUCCGCUUUGGGUUCGAGCUUAUCAGACUGAAACUUUUUCACAUAAGUGUCGAAGCCCCAAACUUUCAAGAAACGACAGUUUAGAUUUCUCUAAACCUCAGUCUAUACUGUGUCAUCUCAACGGAAAUACGUGGUGCCCUAUUUAAAGUGAAUGCGGUUGUCUCUAAUGCAUAACCCAUAAACGAUAGUGGUAAUUCGAUNNNNNNNNNNNNNNNNNNNNNNNNNNNNNNNNNNNNNNNNNNNNNNNNNNNNNNNNNNNNNNNNNNNNNNNNNNNNNNNNNNNNNNNNNNNNNNNNNNNNACUGCAUUGAGCUUGACCCUACCCCGUGAGGGUCAUGUUAUUACCAUGUUGACAAGUAAUGUUAAGGCAUAUUAUCUCAAGCAUAAUGAUGAGCUAAAUAAAGAGUUUAUGAAAACCCCGUCGGGUGCCACUAAUGCCCGAGGGUGAUGAUGAGUUGGUGAUCACUUUUGGUGAAGUGAUGCACCGGUGAUUUUGGUGUGAGUAUNNNNNNNNNNNNNNNNNNNNNNNNNNNNNNNNNNNNNNNNNNNNNNNNNNNNNNNNNNNNNNNNNNNNNNNNNNNNNNNNNNNNNNNNNNNNNNNNNNNNNNNNNNNNNNNNNNNNNNNNNNNNNNNNNNNNNNNNNNNNNNNNNNNNNNNNNNNNNNNNNNNNNNNNNNNNNNNNNNNNNNNNNNNNNNNCGUGAUGCGGUCGUGCCAGGUAGGACGACUAUGCCAUUAUUAUGAGUUCCGCGCACACCGUUGGUCCCUGCAUGGUUGAUACGGUCCAGAGUCCGUGCUCGUAAGACGUACAACAUGUGGGCUGGGUACCAAUCGAGUGGACCUCUUUGUCUAGUAUCGUUAGGGGAAAGAUGAUGAUCGGGUACUUACCUCGGGUAUAUGUGAUAUACCGCGAGUCGUGGAUGACACGGAAGUUUCCCGUUUCUCGUGGGUCCAGCGUACUACCUCUGCAGAGUGUAAACUAUUCGAAUAGUCGUGUCCACGGUCAAGGACAGUUGGGUGGUGCUGCUUAAACUACGNNNNNNNNNNNNNNNNNNNNNNNNNNNNNNNNNNNNNNNNNNNNNNNNNNNNNNNNNNNNNNNNNNNNNNNNNNNNNNNNNNNNNNNNNNNNNNNNNNNNNNNNNNNNNNNNNUCAAGUUCGGUGACUUGACAUAUAGGGUAAACCCGGAUGGUUUAGCCCUCAUUAAUAUCUUGAGGAUAUGACAAGUCCGAUGACUUGGCAUAUAGGGUGAACCCGGUGUGUUCAACCCUUGACAGAUAUGUCAAUAUCUGUAACCUGUUCUUCAAAAGUAGUUCUUUAACUUGUUGCAUAUACCUGAUCAUUCCACCCAGAUGAGUUACACAAAAGAUGCUUGAUAUUGUUAUCCUUCACUUUCAUUUGUUCCUAUCAUGGGCUGUUUGCGAGUACAUUCAAAGUACUCAUUGGCUUGCCACUGGUUAUUUCAUUGACCAGGUGUGAAAGANNNNNNNNNNNNNNNNNNNNNNNNNNNNNNNNNNNNNNNNNNNNNNNNNNNNNNNNNNNNNNNNNNNNNNNNNNNNNNNNNNNNNNNNNNNNNNNNNNNNGAGCUCGGGCGGAGCCCUGCUGAGACAAGGUCAUCACCAACCUCCAGAGCACCGUCACGCUGCCGGAGAACUCUUCUACCUCUCCGUCUCUCUUGCUGGAUCAAGAAGGCCGAGAUCAUCGUCGAGCUGUACGUGUGCUGAACGCGGAGGUGCCGUCCGUUCGGUACUAGAUCGUGGGACUGAUCGCGGGAUUGUUCGCGGGGCGGAUCGAGGGACGUGAGGACGUUCCACUACAUCAACCGCGUUCACUAACGCUUCUGCUGUACGAUCUACAACGGUACAUAGAUCACUCAUCCCCUCUCGUAGAUGGACAUCACCAUGAUAGGUCUUCGUGCGCGUAGGAAAUUUUUUGUUUCCCAUGCGACGUUCCCCAACAGCAACAGCGGCUAAGCAUAUAUUUUGGUGGCUAAACUUACGAGUACAAGAAAUAAGAGGGGGAAGAUCUACGCAUAGCGGACGUGAACUACGGUUGAUCAAACGAAUGAUCCUGAACACCUACCUACGUCAGACAUAACCCCACCGUGUCCUCGAUCGGAGAAGGAUCUCAUGAAAGAGACAAUCACGGUUACGCACACAGUUGGCAUAUUUUAAUUAAGUUAACUUCAAGUUAUCUAGAACUAGUGUUAACAAAGCUUCCACGUUGCCACAUAACCGUGGGCACAACUUUCCGAAAAGAUUUAACCCUGCAGGGGUGCUCCAACUAGUCCAUCACAAAUUACCACAAGCCGCAUAGAAAUCCUCGAUCACGACACUCGCGAUCUCGUCGGAUUCCUUAGUGGAAAACCUCAACUCCGAGAAUACCCAAAGCAUCACCGGAAUCCCGAUGCACAAGAUAUUCCGUCAAAGGUAAAACUAAUCCAGCAAGGCCGCCCGACGUGUCGACGAUCCCGAUAGGAGCCGCGUAUCUCGUUCUCAGGACACGACGGAUGAGCUAGACGUCGGGAUCGCUAAACCUCUGGGUGACCAGGGGGCGCCGGACAUCGCUCAGGUGGGACCAACACUCAUGAUGAGCACUGGCCCGGGGGUUGAUUAAAUUUCCUCGGGUUAAUUACUCCCUAUGAAGUUCAUUAGUUAUUAGGAAAAUGUAGUACCAAAGUUGGGCCUUGCCAGACCAGCUUUAAUCUAAAACGAAUUAUCAAGGGGGUCCCCAUAACAACCCCGAUCGUGUUAGGAGCGCUCAAUUAUGGAACAUAACACCGGUAGCCGAAACUAAGGGGGCAAAGGUGGAACAAAACACCAGGCUAGAAAAGACCGAGCCUUCCACCUUUUAGCAAGUAUAUAGGUGCAUUAAAUUAAAUAGCAUAUUAUAUGGUGAUAAGACAAGGAACCCAUGUUAUCACAUGGAAGCAACUGCACCUGCAACUAGCAACGCUAACAACAUGGUUAAGCAAGCAAUAACAUAGUCAAUCAGUGGUUUGUUAGGUUGAAUAGGUUGAAGGUUUCAUGGCAUCGUUGAGAGGCUGAUAUUUAACAUGUGGUAGGCAACGAGACAUGAUCGAUAGAAGCGAUAAAACUAGCAUGGCAAUGAUAGUAAUGGUAUCUGGGGAAAUGGUCAUCUUGCCUGAGAUCCCGCUUGGAAGAAGAACAACUCCGUGAAGUCGGCGAACCAACGUAGUCGAACGGGUCCUCACAUUCCGACACGCUUGCGGAACUCUAUCAAGACGGAGCAAACCGGAAACAAGCAUCAACACAGAUAUUUACCACACGAUGCACAACAUGAUGCACACCCUAAUAUGAUGCAUGACCAGAUCAAUAAUGCAAGGGAUGGCAUGGCAAUUCACCUCACGCAAACACUACACAUUAAGUGAAGCUCGAUAUGCAACGAGUUGCAUAUCGACGAAACUUCACGUUUAAUUAUUUAAUUCACUCCCGUUUAUUUACAUGCAAUAUUAAAUUGUUGUUAACAUGGCAAGGGGUGGAGCGGUGAUCCUACCUGUCAUCCUAGUCGGUUAAGACGCGGGACUUUGAGAGUCGCUACGUUACAAGAAGCAUGCAACACAAGGUAUUAUGCCAUGAAUGUGUCAUGCAUGCGAGUUCAUAACAUCAGAGGCAAGAGGAGAAAAGAAGCAUGUGUCGCCAUGGCGAACGAAAGGGUACCAUGGCGGCAAGACGGAAACGAUGCCACGACAACGUUCCUAUCCCGAUAACUCAACGAGAGGUCGGUGCCAACGAAUUGGAAGCGCGUGCGGGUCAAGCCAAAAUAAUGAUGGGGUGAUCCCGGUUACCGGGUUCCCAUGUGUCGGGGGCACAAAAAAAGAGGAACACGUGCAACGGGCAACAUAUAUAUGCGCAAACAUAUGGGUACAUCUGAUACAUCACAUGCACACGGUUCACGACAAUGUUCCAACGUAUACCUUCGAAGCAUGCAUAUCAGAGCGGNNNNNNNNNNNNNNNNNNNNNNNNNNNNNNNNNNNNNNNNNNNNNNNNNNNNNNNNNNGUGGAAGUCGUGGUACUCGGAUCUCGUCGACGGUAGUCGUACAUUUGGCGUCGGUAGACGGGUCUUCGGUGACGGUAGACGUACACGACUUCGUAGAUGUUCGGGGUCGUCGAGGACGUUGUGGUACUCGCCGAACUUGUCGGAUCCACAUUGGCGGGGAUGGUGCACGCGGCGACGGCAGGCGACACAACAUCAACAUCGGCGACAGCAAGCUAGCACGCAGCUAGCAACAGGCACAACAACGGGCUUGGCUAGCAACAACAACAAGCUUUGGGAGCGGCAGCAACUAGCAGCAACACACAGGCACAACAACAAGCAACCUAGCAGCAACAAGCAACCUAGCAUGCUCCUGCGGCAGGCAUCAGCAAUAGCUAGCACGCAGCAGGCAACAGGCGGCAGCAGCAACAAGCUUCAGCUAGCAACUAACAGCACCAAGCAGGUGCAACGGCAUGCAGGCACAACAGCAUCCGGCCGCGGGCAAGAGCAACAGCAAACGGCUGCAGGUUCAGCAAGCAACGGCAGCAUCAACAGCAACUAGCUGGCAGCGGCCGACAGCAACAACAACAACUAGCUUCGGCGUAGGCAAGCAGCACAAGCACACAACAGCGACAGGACAAGAAACAGCAGUCUCGGCGAGCUCGGCAUGGGGAACGGCGGCAUGGCGUGCAACGAGGAGGAGGAGGUCGGGGUCCUGGAGGGCUUGUCACGGGACGAGGGCUGCGGCGCAGCUGAGGCCGGCGGUAGCGGGGCUGACCUGGGGGGCUUGCCGGCGAGCAGCGAGGCGGCGGGCACGCGGGGGAAGAGGGAGAGGGGAGACGCGCAGUCGGCGAGGGCCUGGAGGGGCUUUGCAGCGUGGGGGCAGGAGGAGGCCGGUGAUGACCCACAAGUAUAGGGGAUCAAUCGUAGUCCUUUCGAUAAGUAAGAGUGUCGAACCCAACGAGGAGCAGAAGGCUCUGGUAAACAGUUUUCAGCAAGGUAAUAACCGCAAGCACUGAAAGUAGCGGUAACAAGUGAUGGUGUAGUGAGGUGAAACGUAGCAAGCAAAAAGUAACAAGUAACAAGUAGUAGCAAUGGUGCAGCAAGUGUCCCAAUCCCUUUUGUAGCAAGGAACAAGCCUGAACAAAGUCUUAUAGGAGGAAAAACGCUCCCGAGGACACACGGGAAUUUCUGUCAUGCUAGUUUCAUCAUGUUCAUAUGAUUCACGUUCGUUACUUUGAUAGUUUGAUAUGUGGGUGAACCGGCGCUUGGGUACUGCCCUUACUUGGACAAGCAUCCCACUUAUGAUUAACCCCUCUCGCAAGCAUCCGCGACUACGAAAGAAGAAUUAAGACAAAGACUAACCAUAGCAUUAAACUAGUGGAUCCAAAUCAGCCCCUUACGAAGCAACGCAUAGACUGGGGUUUAAGCUUCUGUCACUCCAGCAACCCAUCAUAUACUUACUACUCCCCAAUUCCUUCCUCUAGGCCCAAAUAUGGUGAAGUGUUAUGUUGUCGACGUUCACAUAACACCACUAGAGGAAAAACAACAUACAUCAUAUCAAAAUACCGAACGAAUAUCAAAUUCACAUGACUAUUAUCAGCAUGACUUAUCCCAUGUCCUCAGGAACAAAAGUAACUACUCACAAAGCAUAAUCAUAAUCAUGAUCAGAGGUGUAAUGAAUAGCAUCAAGGAUCUGAACAUAAACUCUUCCACCAAACAAUCCAACUAGCAUCAACUACAAAGAGUAAUCAACACUACUAGCAACCUUACAAGUAACAAUCGGAGUCGCGAGAUGGAGAUUGGUUACAAGUGAUGAACUAGGGUUUGGAGAUGAGAUGGUGCUGAUGAAGAUGUUGAUGAAGAUGCCUCCCCUCCGACGAGAGGAGUGUUGGUGAUGACGAUGGCGAUGAUUUCCCCCUCCGGGAGGGAAGUUUCCCCGACAGGAUCGUCCUGCCGGAGCUCUAGAUUGGAUCUGCUCAAGUUCCGCCUCGUGGCGGCGUCGAAACCACGAAAAGUCUUCCCAUUGAUUUUUUCUGGAACGAAACCCUUCAUAUAGCAAAAGAGGGGGGCUAGUGGGCCGUCAGGGAGCCCACAAGCUUGCCAUCCGCCACCUGGGGGGGUAGCGGUGGCAUGGCUUGUGGCGCCGUGGUAGCUCCCCUCCGGUACUUCUUUCGCCUAGUAUUUUUUAUAUAAUCCCAAAAAAUUCCAUGUAAAUUUUCAGGGCAUUUGGAGAUGUGCAGAAUAGUGGACUACGAUUUGCUCCUUUUCCAGUCCAGAAUUCCAGCUGCCUGAAUUCUCCCUCUUCAAAUAAUCCUUGCAAAAUAAGAGAGAAAAGGCAUAAAUAUGGUACCACAAAGUAAUAUAACAGCCCAUAAAGCAAUAAAUAUCAACAUGAAAGCAUGAUGCAAAAUGGACGUAUCAACUCCCCCAAGCUUAGACCUCGCUUGUCCUCAAGCGAAAACCAAGUUCCAUAAACAUGUCCACAUGUUGAGGGGCGAAGGUGUCGAUAAAACAUAAUACGGACAUGAGGGCAUCAUGAUCACACAUAGAACAUCAAUUCAUCAUAAAGAAUCUUAUGGGAAAGUAACAAUUCUUUCAGAAAGCAAAGCAUGAAGCAAAAACCUUACCGAGAAGUAACCAACAACAGUCCAAAGUCAUUGAAGCAAUUGCAAUUUAUCACAACAUCAGAAAGAGUCAAAUAAGAGCUUGUAAGGAAAACCCACAUACUCAAUCAUCUCUUUUGUUUUCCACAAUUGUUACAACUCACGUGGUACUCAUGGUAUCAAAGUUUCAGCUGGACACAGAGGAAGAUAGGGGCCUAUAGUUUUGCCUCCCAACGAUUUACCUCAAGGGUAAAGUCAACAAUAAUAAAGCAUAAGUACUCAACUCCAAGUUGAUAUAUGAAUAUAGAUCUUUCCCAAGCAUGUGACGGUAGCCAAGACAAAGGAAAAAAUAGGGAAUUGGUGAAGAUCACCAUGACUCUUACAAGGGCAAAAAGUAAAGGUACAAGAUAGGCCCUUCGCAGAGGGAAGGAGAGGUUGUCAUGCGCUUUUGAGGUUUGAAUGCAUGUCCUCUUAGUGCGGAGGAACAUCACUUUAUAUUGGCUCCUAUGAUAAAGAACUUUAUUAUGCAGUCUGUCGCUUUUAUGUCUUCCUCAUCACAGGUUCAUACAAAGCUUAUUUUCCAUACACUAAUAGAUCAUACACAUUAGAGAGCAAUUUUUAUUGCUUGCACCGAUGACAACUUACUUGAAGGAUCUUAUUCAAUCCAUAGGUAGGUAUGGUGGACUCUCAUGGCAAAACUGGGUUGAAGGUUUAUGGAUGCACAAGUAGUAUCUCUACUUGGUGCGGGAGUUUUGGCUAAUAUGAGGUGGAAGCAAUCGUCACAUGCUAAGGGAUCUCUAAUCAUAUAACAUUGUUUGGAACCAAGCAAACACAAUUCAUUAUGUUGUCUUCCUUGUCCAACAUCUACUCCUAAGCAUGUAAUAGUUUGGUGAGUGCUCACAAUUGUAAAAAGUGUAUAAGAUGAUAUAUUUAUAUGUGAACUUCUCUUUCCUUAUUACUUCUUAUUAAUUGCAACAAUGACUGAUGUCUAUGUUGAUUUAUUCUCAACAAGUUUCAAUCAUCAUACGUGUCAUAUGUGAAGUUAUCACUUUCCAUAAGAUCGUCUCAUGAUCUUUCAUGCUAUCGUUCUUUUCAUACUUUUGAUCAUGGCACAAAGCAAAGCCCUUGACUAAGAUACUCCUUAUUAUAUAGCUCGUAAGCUCGAAUACAUCGGGGGAGAGACAAAAGCAAAAGACUCAAAAUAAACACUAAAGACUUAUUCCUCUAAGAGAAGAAAUAAAAACUGAAAAGGAAAGAACUAAAACAAAGGUAAAAGCAAAAGAUAUAAGGGUGAUACGAUACGAGGGCAACUCCCCCAAGCUUGGCAGAAGCCAAGGGGAUUGCCCAUACCAAUGCUUAGUUGUCUUCCUUUGGUGGUGACGGUGGUGGAGUUGUUGAAGCAGUCUGAUCCUCCGUCUUCCAAGGCAUAGGUGCUCCAUCAUGGCAGGAUGAACGAGUUGUCGGAAUCCUCAAAUCUGCAGCCAACCUUAUUGAUUUAAAUAUGUACUCAUACUCACAGUUUUGGUUCUGCAGGUCAUAGAUCUGGCCCUGAAGUUGAUCAACCGUGUCAUAGAGCCUGGAGAGAUGUUUCCCAAUGUUAAUGGCAUCCAUCUUGUGAUUGCUAGUGAACUCCAUGAUCAUCAUGUUGUUGGCGUUGAGUCCAUGCUCCACCAUCCCUUGACACUUGAAGACUUGUUGCUCCAUUGCUUCGAGCCUUGUCUCCAUGCUUCCGGUCUUCUUAGGCCCCUCAACAUCACAGAUGUGCAACAUCCCCUCACUCAUCUUGAUAGAUUGAGGGUGUUUCAGCACUUCUGUGAGGUAAGGAUUGAUGACUGUCUCGAAGAUCUUGUCUUUAGGAGUGUUUGGGGAAGUCAUGAUGAUCUAGAUCUGCCACAGAAACAAGCUCGAAACGAAAACAGAGGAAAACUGCACGGUACGGAGAUCAAAACCUUCGGGCGAAUAUAUAUUGAUUUUUUCUGUACCAGAAGGAUUGCUCCGCAAGGAAAGGGAGUCCGGGAGCCACACGAGGUGCCCACAAGCCCUCCUUCCGCCACCAGGGGUGUAGGUGGCGGCUUCCAAGCUUGUGGCCGCCUCGUGCGCUCUCCGGACUGCUUUUUAUUUUUCUAAUUUUCCAAAAACUCCAAAAUAGAGGAAAUUUCCUAUUGGAAAAGCAUCGGAGUCCAAUUUCUUACCGAAACAGACACCUCUUCGUUUUCAGGGUCUAAAACAGGCUGAUAAACAUCCCUUAUGUACUCCUCUGGAGUUAUGACAUUGAUGAUAUUGGUCUCAACAUUUAUGGGAGUACCAGAGAUGUAAUGCUUGAUUCUUUGCCCAUUUACCACUCUAGGAAAAUUUCCUUCCGUGUUAUUGAUUUUGAUGGCACCGGAACGAUAUACUUCCUCGAUAACAUAAGGACCUUCCAUUUAGAGAGAAGCUUGCCUGCGAAGAAUCUUAAACGAGAACUAUAUAGCAGGACAUAAUCACCUACAUUGAACUCUCAUUUCUGUAUUCGUUUGUCUUGCCAUCUCUUAACCUUUUCCUUGAACAACUUGGCAUUCUCAUAUGCAUCGACCCUCCAUUCAUCUAACGAGCUGAUAUCAAACAACCGCUUCUCACCGGCAAGUUCGAAAUGCAAGUUGACCUCUUUGAUUGCCCAAUAAGCUUUGUGUUCCAGCUCAAGAGGUAAAUGACAGGCCUUACCGUAAACCAUUUUAUACGGUGACAUGCCCAUGGGAUUCUUAUAAGGAGUCCUAUAAGCCCAUAGUGCAUCGUCAAGUUUUCUAGACCAAUUCUUUCGAGAUCUAUUGACGGUCUUUUGUAGGAUCAAUUUGAUCUCCCUAUUACUCAACUCCACUUGACCACUAGACUGAGGAUGAUAAGGGGAUGCAACUCCAUGGUUGACAUCAUACUUAGCGAGCAUCUUGCGGAAAACACCAUGAAUGAAGUGUGAACCGCCAUCAGUCAUCAAAUAUCUAGGUACUCCAAAUCUUGGGAAAAUGACUUCUUUAAGCAUCUUAAUAGAGGUGUGGUGAUCAACAUUUUUAGUGGGGAUAGCUUCUACCCACUUAGUGAUGUAAUCCACAGCAACUAAGAUGUGAGUGUACCCAUUGGAACUCGGGAAGGGUCCCAUAUAAUCUAAGCCCCAGACAUCAAAUGGUUCAAUGACAAGUGAAUAGUUCAUAGGCAUUUCCUGACGCUUACUAAUGUUCCCUAUUCUUUGGCAUUCGUCACAAGACAAAAUAAACUUACGAGCAUCCUUGAAGAGAGUGGGCAAAUAGAAACCUGAUUGCAAUACCUUAUGAGCAGUUCUAUCUCCAGCGUGGUGUCCUCCGUAGGCUUCGGAAUGACACUUCUGCAAGAUCUGUCCCUGUUCAGGCACACAACGUCUAAUAACACCAUCUACUCCUUCCUUAUAAAGGUGAGGAUCAUCCCAAAAGUAGUAUCUCAAAUCAAAGAAGAAUUUCUUCUUUUGCUGAUAGGUGAAACUGGGUGGUAUGUAUUUGGCUACGAUAUAAUUUGUGUAAUAAGCAUACCACGGUGCACUAUGUGAAGUGCAGAUGACAAUUAAUUGUUCAUCAGGAAAGCUGUCAUCAAUAGGUCGUGGGUCAUCAAGGACAUUCUCUAGCCUAGACAAGUUAUCUGCUACAGGGUUAUCAGCACCCUUUCGAUCAACGACGUGCAAAUCAAAUUCCUGUAGCAGGAGAACCCAUCUGAUCAGCCUAGGCUUAGCACCCUUCUUCUCCAUAAGGUACUUAAUAGCAGCAUGAUUAGAGUGAAUAGUGACUUUGGAGUCAACUAUAUAAGAUCUGAACUUUUCACAUGCAAACACGACUGCUAAAAAUUCCUUCUCCGUAGUGGCAUAUUUCCUUUGGGCACUGUCUAGAGUUUUACUAGCGUAGUGAAUAACAUUCAACUUCUUGUCAACUCUUUGUCCUAGAACAGCACCAACAGCAUAAUCACUAGCGUCGCACAUGAUUUCAAAGGGCAAGUUCCAGUCAGGUGGUUGAACAAUAGGUGCGGUUAUCAAAGCCUUCUUAAGUAUUUCGAAAGCUUCCUCACAAUCCUCAUCAAAAACAAAAGGAACAUCCUUCUGCAAGAGGUUGGUAAGAGGCCUAGAAAUCUUAGAGAAGUCUUUAAUGAACCUUCUAUAGAAACCAACAUGACCUAGGAAACUUCGGAUACCUCUGAUAUCUGUGGGGCAAGGCAUUUUCUCAAUUGCAUCAACCUUAGCCUUAUCAACUUGAGUACCUCUUUCAGAGAUUUUGUGUCCUAAGACGAUGCCUUCAUUAACCAUAAAGUGGCACUUCUCCCAAUUCAAGACGAGGUUGGUAUCUUCGCAUCUCUGUAGGACUCGAUCAAGGUUGCUGAGGCAAUCAUCAAAGGAAGACCCGUAAACGGAGAAGUCAUCCAUGAAAACCUCGACAAUCUUUUCACAAAAGUCAGAGAAUAUAGCCAUCAUACAUCUUUGAAAGGUGGCAGGUGCAUUGCAUAAGCCAAAAGGCAUACGUCUAUAAGCAAAGAUACCGAAGGGGCAGGUGAAAGUGGUUUUCUCCUGAUCAGAUUGUGCAACAGGUAUUUGCGAGAAACCUGAAUAACCGUCUAGAAAGUAGAAGUGUGUGUGUUUUGAUAGACUUUCUAGCAUUUAGUCGAUAAACGACAAAGGAUAAUGAUCUUUCCUGGUUGCCUUGUUCAGUUUCCGGAAGUCUAUCACCAUCCUAUAGCCAGUAAUAAUCCUUUGUGGGAUUAGUUCAUCCUUAUCAUUAGGAACGACGGUCAUACAUCCCUUCUUAGGUACGCAAUGUAUUGGACUUACCCAUUCACUAUGAGCAACAGGAUAAAUGAUUCCUGCUUCCAGAAGCUUUAAUAUUUCUUUUCUAACGACCUCUUUCAUCCUAGGAUUUAAUCUCCUUUGAUGAUCAACAAUUGGUUUAGAAUCGGGAUCGGUUUUAAUCUUGUGCUGACAUAGAGUGGGACUAAUACCCUUAAGAUCAUCAAGAGUAUAUCAAGUAGAAACACGGUGCUUCCUCAGAGUUUUUAGUAACUUCUUCUCUUCGUGCUCUGAGAGGAGAGCACUAAUAAUAACAGGAUAUAUCUCCUUCUCAUCAAGAUAGGCAUACUUAAGAGUAUCAGGCAACUAUUUAAGCUCGAACACAGGAUCACCCUUUGGUGGGGGAGGAUACCCAAGUAGUUCAACAGGCAGAUUAUUCUUGAGAAUAGGAUAUUGUUCUAAGACAAUCUUAUCUAUCUCAUCUCUUUCCUCCAUAUGCAUAUCAUUUUCAUGCUCAAGCAGAUAUUGCUCUAAAGGAUCCGUAGGAGGUACGACAAUAGAGGCAAGAGCAAUGAUUUCAUCCCUACCAGAUGACUCUUUUUCAUGGGGUUGUCUUCCAAACUUGGAGAAGUUAAAUUCAUGAGACACACCCUCGAAACUAACAGUGACGGUCUACUUAAUGCAAUCAACGUGAGCAUUGACAGUGUUGAGAAAGGGUCUACCAAAUAUGAUGGGACAAAAGCUAUCUUGUGCAGUACCAAGGACGAGGAAAUCAGUAGGAUACUUCGUCUUACCACACAAGACUUCUACGUCUCUCACAAUUCCCAUAGGGCAGAUAGUGUCUCUAUUAGCUAGCGUAAUAGUGACCUCAAUGGGUUCUAGCUCAACAGGUGCAAUCUCAUCUUUGAUUUCAUCAUAUAAGGAACGGGGUAUUGCACUAACACUAGCUCCCAUAUCACAUAAACCAUGGUAACAGUGGUCUCCUAUCUUGACAGAAACAAUGGGCAGGCCAACUACAGGUCCGUAUUUGUCUUUCGCGUGAGGUUUAGCAAUUCUAGCAGAGUCCUCACAGAAUUUGAUAACAUGCCCGUCUACCUCUUCGGCUAAGAGAUUUUUGAUAAUAGCAACACUAGGUUCAACUCUAAUCUCCUCAGGGGGUGCAAGUGGUCUAAUGUAACCCCUACGUAUCACAGUUGGAGCUUUAGAAUAAUCCUUUAUCCUAGAAAGGUAUGGUGGUUUCUCAGCGUAGGCACAAGGAACAACAGGAUCACUAAAAGCAAUGACUUUCUCCUCAACUAGAUUGGUUUUGACUAUGUUGCUUUCUACAGGAGGAUGAUACUUAAACCACUUAUCUUUGGGAAGAUCAACAUGAACAUCAAAAGAUUCACAUAGAGAAGCUACUAUCUCAGAGUCAAGUCCAUACUUAGCGCUAAAAUCUCUAGAAGUGUUUGUCUCAACAAAAGAUUUAACGCAAUCAAACUGGAAAUUCAUACCUCACUCCUUACCUUCCUCCAGUUCCCAAUCUUCAGAGUUACAUUUGAUUCUUUCCAAUAAAUUCCACUUGUGGUUAAUAUCCUUCUUCAUAAAAGAACCGGUACAAGAAGUGUCAAGCAUGGUACGAUCUUCAUGAGAAAGCCGAGCAUAAAAGUUUUGAGUGAUAAUUUCUCUCGAGAGCUCAUGAUUGGGGCAUGAAUAUAACAUUGAUUUAAGCCUCCCCCAAGCUUGAGCUAUGCUUUCCCUGUCACGAGGCCAAAAGUUAUAAAUAAAGUUCUGAUCAUGAUGUACUAAAUGCAUAGGAUAAAACUUUUGAUGAAAUUCCAAUUUCAACCGAUUGUAGUCUCAUGAUCCAAUAUCAUCACAUAGCCUAUACCAUGUCAACACCUUAUCCUUCAAAGAUAAAGGAAAGACUUUCUUAUUUACCUCAUCCUCAGGCAAACCUGCAAGCUUAAAUAAACCACAAACUUCAUCUACAUAGAUUAGAUGCAAGUCUGGAUGUGAUGAUCCAUCUCCUGUAAAAGGAUUAGCCAGCAGUUUCUCAAGCAUACCCGAAGGAAUUUCAUAAAAGAAAUUUUCAGUAGGUACCUCAGGUUGAGGAACAACUCCUCGUGCUUCCAUUCGUGGUGAAGAUACCCCGAACAAACUCCUCAAAGGAACAGUUUCCAUAGUGACAAGUGACAAUAAAUUUCAGCUCAAUAUAAAAAUGUUUCCUUACCAAUUUCCACUUACCAAAGGCGCUUCACUCCCCGGCAACGGCGCCAAAAAAGAGUCUUGAUGACCCACAAGUAUAGGGGAUCAAUCGUAGUCCUUUCGAUAAGUAAGAGUGUCGAACCCAACGAGGAGCAGAAGGCUCUGGUAAACAGUUUUCAGCAAGGUAAUAACUGCAUGCACUCAAAGUAGCGGUAACAAUUGAUGGUGUAGUGAGGUGAAACGUAGCAAGCGAAAAGUAACAAGUAACAAGUAGUAGCAACGGUGCAGCAAGUCUGCAAGUGGCCCAAUCCCUUUUGUAGCAAGGAACAAGCCUAAACAAAGUCUUAUAGGAGGAAAAACGCUCCCGAGGACACACGGGAAUUUCUGUCAUGCUAGUUUCAUCAUGUUCAUAUGAUUCAUGUUCGUUACUUUGAUAGUUUGAUAUGUGGGUGGAUCGGCGCUUGGGUACCGCCCUUACUUGGACUAGGGAUUACUACUCCAGCAACCCAUCAUCUACUUACUACUCCCCAAUGCCUUCCUCUANNNNNNNNNNNNNNNNNNNNNNNNNNNNNNNNNNNNNNNNNNNNNNNNNNNNNNNNNNNNNNNNNNNNNNNNNNNNNNNNNNNNNNNNNNNNNNNNNNNNCAGUAAAGCACAGAGACUCAAAUCCUUCGAGGUUUGGUCGUUACAGAUGGCAUCAGAGCAAUGCGUUGACUGUAGGUCGUGGCCCUAGAAAAUGGAUUAGAAAAGCCAUAGGAGUGAAAAUUUAUUCUAUAAACUUUGUCUACAUCUUACUCUUUCAUUAGACAACCACUCUAGUAUCUUGACCAGCUUAAGUAGGAACUAGUGUUGAGACCAGCACUUAUCUUGUUUUUAUUUGCGCUAUUAACGUGUUAGCGUAUCUGAUUAUGCCCGCUUUGUGGCAUGACGAUACUAGGUUGCUUGCUUGAUUGUUAUUUUGCUUGUUUGUGAAACUAGGAUCUUGUCGGAAUUAUUUGACUAUAUAUAUAGAUAUGUUUGAUUAUUGUUAUGCUUGUUUGUGUUAUUGCUAUGAUGUUUUGUUGCCUCAUAUAUAUUACCUUGAUCAUAAUAUGCAUACGGGUAGAAUAUCUAUAUUCCUUUAGAUCUAUUCUAUCUAUUACUCAUCUAUUCUUGCCAACCAAAACCGUUAGUAUGCCUAUUAGAGUGAGUUCCCCAGGAGUUGAGAUGAUAGCAGGUGUUGGUUGUCAUCAGUUAAACUUGUCUAUUGGGAAGCAUGAGUUCCCUACAGAUUUGAUCAUAUUGAAAUCACAAGGUCUCGAUAUUAUUUUGGGUAUGGACUGGUUACAAUUGUAUGAAGGAGUUAUCGAUUGUGCUAGUCGAUCUAUUUCUCUCAGUGCACCAGGAGGGAAGAGAAUCAAAUAUGUAUGUAAGUACUAGCAUAAGAGGAUGCAGGUGAACUCUCUUAAGGGGGGUAGCCUGGAAGAGGUGCGAGUUGUGAAGGAUUAUCCAGAUGUGUUUCUGGAGGAGUUGCCAGGUAUGCCACCAGAUAGAGAUAUUGAGUUUCUCAUUGAUUUGAUGCCUGGUACUGGACCUAUUGCAAAGAGACCAUACAGAAUGCCUCCUCAAGAGUUGGAGGAAUUAAAGAAGCAGUUGAGGGAGUUACAGGCACAAGGAUCUAUUCGCCCAAGUUCAUCACCUUGGGAGCCCAUGUUUUGUUUGUGGAGAAGAAGGAUGGAACCUUGAGGAUGUGUGUUGAUUAUCGUUCUCUGAAUGAGGUAACCAUUAAGAGUAAGUAUCCUAUGCCUAUGAUAAAUGAUCUGUUUGACCAGUUGGAGGGAGCUACUGUGUUUUCUAAGAUUGAUCUUUGUUCUGGUUAUCAUCAAUUAAAGAUUCGUGAGCAAGAUAUUCCAAAGACUGCUUUCACUACGAGGUAUGGUCUGUAUGAGUAUACUAUUAUGUCAUUUGGAUUGACUAAUGCCCCAGCAUACUUCAUGAAUAUGAUGAACAAGGUGUUUAUGGAGUUCUUGGAUAAAUUUGUGGUUGUUUUCGUUGAUGAUAUAUUGGUGUUCUCCAAGAAUAAGCAAGAGCAUGAAGUGCAUUUGCGUUUGGUGUUGGAGAAACUGAGGGAGCACCAGUUGUAUGCCAAGUUCUGUAAAUGUGAGUUUUGGCUGGAUGAGGUAGCAUUCCUUGGCCAUGUUAUAUCAGGUAAUGGAGUUGCAGUUGAUCCAUCCAAGGUUACUGCUGUUACAGAGUGGGAGACACCCACGUCAGUUGGUGAGAUUCACAGCUUUUUGGGCUUGGCAGGUUAUUACAGAAGGUUUAUUGAGAAUUUCUCAAAGAUUGCAAAGCCGAUGACUGAAUUGUUGAAGAAGGGGAAUAAGUUUGUCUGGACUGAUGAUUGUGAAGCUAGCUUUCAGGAGUUGAAGCAGUGUUUAUUCACAGCACCAGUCUUAACUCUGCCAGAUAUACAUAAAGACUUCCAGGUAUAUUGUGAUGCUUCUCGUCAGGGACUUGGGAGUGUUUUGAUGCAGGAAGGUAAAGUUGUUUCUUAUGCUUCACGUCAGCUUAAGAAUCAUGAGCAUAAUUAUCCUACACAUGAUUUGGAGUUAGCCUCAUUUGUGCAUGCACUGAAAACAUGGAGGCAUUAUCUCGUUGGUAAUCAUUGUGAUAUAAUUACUGAUCAUAAGAGCUUGAAGUACAUUUUUACUCAAAGGGAGUUUAACCUCAGACAGAGGAGAUGGUUGGAGCUUAUUAAGGAUUAUGAUUUGAAUGUACAGUAUCAUCCUGGUAAGGCUAAUGUUGUUGCUGAUGCAUUGAGUCGUAGGAGCCAUGCUAAUGCAAUUAAUAUUGAUGAUAUGCCAUCGGAGUUAUGUGAGUAGUUCAGAAAUCUGAGAUUGGAGAUGCUCCCUAGAGGCUAUUUGGGUACACUUGAGGUAAGGCCUACCUUGCUUGACAGAAUUAGAGAAGCUCAAAAGGAUGAUAAGUAUAUUGCUGAGAUAAAGGAGAAUAUGCUAAAAGGGAAGGCAAAAGAUUUCCAUGAGGAUGAACAUGGAACCAUAUGGUUUGAGAAGCGUAUUUGUGUACCUCAAGAUGCAGAUAUAAGAAAGUUGAUUCUUCAGGAGGCGCAUGAUUCACCUUAUUCUAUUCACCCAGGUAAUACUAAGAUGUAUUUGGAUUUGAGGGAGAGAUUUUGGUGGCCUAGCCUAAAGAGGGAAAUUGCUGAGUAUAUUGCAGUAUGUGAUGUGUGCCAGAGAGUUUGGGAAAUUGCUCAGUGUAUUGCAGUAUGUGAUGUGUGCCAGAGAGUUAAAGCAGAGCAUCAGAAACCAACAGGUUUGUUACAACCCUUGCCUAUACCUGAUUGGAAGUGGGAUCAGAUUGGUAUGGAUUUCAUCACUGGAUUACCCAGGACUCGAUGAGGUUAUGAUUCUAUUUGGGUAGUUGUUGAUCGUUUGACUAAAGUCGCUCACUUCAUCCCUGUAAAGACUACCUAUAGCAGUGCUAAGCUAGCUAAGAUUUAUAUGUCCAGAAUUGUUUGUCUGCAUGGAGUUGCAAAGAAGGUAGUGUCUGAUAGAGGUACUCAGUUCACUUCUAAAUUUUGUCGUCAGUUGCAUGAAUCAUUGGGUACUAGACUGGAGUUCAGUACAACAUUCCAUCCACAAAUAGAUGGGCAGAGUGAGAGGGUGAAUCAGAUAUUGGAGGAUAUGUUGAGAGCUUGUGCUUUGGACUACGGGUCCAGUUGGGAUGAUAAUUUACCAUAUGCAGAGUUCUCAUAUAAUAACAGUAUCAGGCUAGUUUGUAGAUGGCACCGUUUGAGUUUCUGUAUGGUAGGAAGUGCAGGACACCGUUGAUGUGGGAUGAGGUUGGAGAGCGUCAGUUCUUUGGACCAGACUUGUUUAGAGAUGCUGAGGAGAAAGUCAGGUUGGUUCGUGACUGGCUAAGGAUAGCAUAGUCCAGAUAGAAGAGUUAUGCAGAUGCAAAGCGGAAGGAGGUGACAUAUGAGGUAGGAGACCGUGCAUACCUUAGAGUUUCACCACUUCGUGGAAUUAAGAGGUUUGGAAUCAAAGGUGAGUUAGCACCACGCUUUGUGGGGCCUUACAAGAUCUUGGAGCGUCGAGGAGAAGUAGCUUAUCAGCUGGAGUUGCCAGAAGCUUUGUCAGGAGUUCAUAAUGUGUUUCACGUAUCCCAGCUGAAGAAGUGUCAUGCCGAGAUGGCAGAUAUUCCUUUGAGAGAUACAGUGCCACUUGAGGCAAUUCAGUUGGAGACUGACUUGACAUAUGAGGAGAAGCCUGUUAAGAUUCUGGAGACAUCAGAGAGAAUUACUCGCACCAAGGCAAUCAGGUUAUGCAAAGUUCAGUGGGAUCAUCAUACACAACAAGAGGCUACUUGGGAACGAGAGGAGGAUCUCAAGCAGGACCACCNNNNNNNNNNNNNNNNNNNNNNNNNNNNNNNNNNNNNNNNNNNNNNNNNNNNNNNNNNNNNNNNNNNNNNNNNNNNNNNNNNNNNNNNNNNNNNNNNNNNGACUCCCAUCGACCAGGGAUCUUUUUCUCGCGAGGGAAACAUCCCCAGGAACCGAAGCCCCUGUCCUGAUUCUUUCCGCUGCUCCGACUCUUCCUGUCGCCCGAUCCGCAACAUUCCGCCCUCAACUCAUCUCACCGCGCCGUCGCUGGAGCCCUGUUGCCGGAGCACACCGCAGCACCCUCGUUCUUGCCGGAGCACCAUCGGAGUUCGUCCGUCGUUCGUUGGAGUUCGUCCGACAGUCACAGGAGAAGCACCACCGGAGGCACCACGCCGAGUCCGUUCCGUUUUCCCUACUGUUCGUGGUGAGAACGCACGCAUGAGCCGAUUCAUCAAACCCCGAUGAACAGCUUCAGGACGAAAUUUAGUCUAUUUUUAACCUGUUUUUAGCUUUGUCAGAUUCUCGAUAAAAUUUUGAAACACGUUUAUCUUUUUACUCGUAACUCCGAAUCAGGAAAUUCUUUUUCCUGUGAUCUCGUAUUGUUGAGUAGAACAUGUUAGAACCAGUAGUUUUCAGUUUUACGAAAAAAAUAAUUGUUAAAACAGAUAUAUUUUAGACCUACCGGAGGCCAUAUUUUGCAAACCGUACAUCCGGUUUAGUUGAUUCUUUUUGCGUUGUCAUCGUAUCAGCAUGUAGAUGACUUUAUACCUGCUGCCAUGCUAUUUAUGCUUUGUUUUUAAACAAGUUGUUUUAUUGCCGAUGAUUUUAUUUGGUGUUAAGUGAUUGUGGUGAUUGAUUGAUGUGAUGGUUUGCGACGUGUAGAUUGUGCGGAGUGCGACACAAACUAUUGUCAGGAGUGUGACCUUCUGAACCAGAAUCAAGGCAAGUUACAUGUUGAUCAUCCUUUACCUAUUAUUUUUCUAUGCAUGUAGUAUUAUACCACCCUAUGAAAAUUAUGCAUGUAUAGGAAGAUUAUUAUUGCUAUGCCAUUGAGCUAUAUCCCCUCAUCAUUGAAGAUCGUGUUAGAUAUAUUUUGCUAUGCUAUGUAGACGGGGAUUGGUUUCUGUAUUCAUUGAGUUUAUGUGAGGAUUACUACAAAAUAAAUUGAGUAGUAAUUCAGGAUAUAAUACACCUCUGGGCGGAUAUGGUAUUGCUGGGUAGUUUCAAGAACAUCAUGGUUUCUACCCUCUGAAUGUAAGUGGAAUGCCGCCCAGGUUCAAAAAGAUCAGACAAACUUAGUGACUAGUAGCUUCCGUGCGCAACCACUAGCUAUAUGGGCUCUAGCUUAGUUGAGUAGGUUGUGGGAACCUUGCCUGGGCAAAGCUAGCAGAUGUAGAUAUAAAUAGGUGUACCGGCUUGCCGUUGGGUGGAGGUGACUGCUUCUGAAAGACUUCGUCUCAAUCUUCGGGUUGGGUCUAGUGGGUACAGUGUGCAAACCUCUGCAGAGUGUAUAAACUAAUCAUGAUUAGCCGUGUCCCCGGUUAUGGACAAUUUUGAGCAGCUAGGCCAUUACAGUUGUUGGAUGAUCUUGACAGAUGACACACUUAAUAAAAUUUGAUGGGGAACUUAAUAAUGGUAAUAGGUUGGAGUUGGAGAUGCCAAUUCAACCAUAUGGGAGUUAUUGUAGCAAACAAAUUAAAACUUGACUAUUAGGUAGUUAUGAGGAUAAAAUCAGCUUUCUGCAAAAUAACCAUCAGCCUUUCUCUUAACCAGAAUCAAGGCAAGUUACAUGUUGGUCAUCCUUUACCUAUUAUUUUUCUAUGCAUGUAGUAUUAUACCAUCCUAUGAAAUUUAUGCAUGUAUAGGAAUAUUAUUAUUGCUAUGCUAUUGAGCUAUAUCCCCUCGUCAUUGAAGAUCGUGUUAGAUAUAUUUUGCUAUGCUAUGUAGACGGGGAUUGGUUUCUGUAUUCAUUGAGUUUAUGUGAGGAUUACUACAAAAUAAAUUGAGUAGUAAUUCAGGAUAUAAUACACCUCUGGGCGGAUAUGGUAUUGCUGGGUGGUUUCAAGAACAUCAUGGUUUCUACCCUCUGAAUGUAAGUGGAAUGCCGCCCAAGUUCAAAAAGAUCAGACAGACUUAGUGACUAGUAGCUUCCGUGCGCAACCACUAGCUAUAUGGGCUCUAGCUUAGUUGAGUAGGUUGUGGGAACCUUGCCUGGGCAAAGCUAGCAGAUGUAGAUAUAAAUAGGUGUACCGGCUUGCCGUUGGGUGGAGGUGACUGCUUCUGAAAGACUUCGUCUCAAUCUUCGGGUUGGGUCUAGUGGGUACAGUGUGCAAACCUCUGCAGAGUGUAUAAACUAAUCAUGAUUAGCCGUGUCCCCGGUUAUGGACAAUUUUGAGCAGCUAGGCCAUUACAGUUGUUGGAUGAUCUUGACAGAUGACACACUUAAUAAAAUUUGAUGGGGAACUUAAUAAUGGUAAUAGGUUGGAGUUGGAGAUGCCAAUUCAACCAUAUGGGAGUUAUUGUAGCAAACAAAUUAAAACUUGACUAUUAGGUAGUUAUGAGGAUAAAAUCAGCUUUCUGCAAAAUAACCAUCAGCCUUUCUCUUGUUAUACUAUGCAUAUACAUGUAGGUCUGUUAUAUUACUUUUCCUGUGUAACUUGCCAAUACAUUCAAAGUAUUGACCUAUAUGGCUGCAACGUAUCAUGUUGCAGGAUAUUCAGACGAGGAGUAAGGUACCGUUAGGGUCGCGAGUCUUCACUCAACAUCGCCAGUGGGCUAUGAUGGGACUCAUCGUUAUUAUUCUGCUACUUUUCCGCUGUUUAAUAGAAUAAAGCUAGCUAAGUGCUAUGCAGAUUGUUAUAUUUUAUAAAUUCUGGAUCAUACGUUGUAAUAAAUGAUGCACUUGCUAUAUCUGGUUUUCAUCUAUGCUGUGUGUGCUAGCGAGUCAAUCCAGGGACUAGCACAGUAAAGCACAGAGACUCAAAUCCUUCGAGGUUUGGUCGUUACAUCAUAUAUCGUCAUUAUUGCCUUUCACUUGCACGACCGAAAGACGUGAACAAUAAUAAGAGUGUUCGUGCAUUGGACUAAGCUGGAAUCUGCAAACAAACAGAAAGCAGAAGACAAAGUAAUAUGGCUCUUUGACAGAUAAACAGAUAUGCAUGCGAGGGCCACUAAACAUUGUAACCAUGGUCUUCUACCUUGACCCAAAGAAAAAGAAAACUAUUUACACGGGAAAGCUCCCAAUAAGCAAAAGAAGAAAGGGAAAUCUUUUUGGGUUUUAUUUUUAUAAACAAACACACGAGAAGAAAGCGAGAAAAAGAAAUAAUAUAGCAUGGAUGAUACAGUGGCAAAGUGUGAACACCCACUAUCAAAGUGAAAGCAGGAAUAUAAAGUCGGUGAGAAACACGUACUCCCCCAAGCUUAGGCUUUUGGCCUAAGUUGGUCCACUCCCAUGGCUGGUCCGGGCGAUAUCCAAAAUCAUAAUGGGGGUUGUACGGGAGCGCGGCAGCUACCGCAUGAAUAGCUGCCUCACGGAGGCGAGCAGCCUUUGCCUGCCUCUCAUACUCCUCUGCCACUCCUCUGGUUAUGUAAUAUCUCCGUUUUACUUGAAAGUCAAAUAAGGCAGGAGCACGAAGGGUAAUAUGGAAAACAUGUUGUUGGUUAAAUAUUAACCGGUAUAGGAGGGAUCCAUUAUCCCUCUCAAGGAACUGAUAACGUAUCAGCGCGGCGCGAUCAAGGAAAGCUGUAUGGAGCGGGGGAUCUCCUUCGCGGAUGGGUACUUCAAGAAAAUUUGCUAUGUGAGUGGCAUAGAUCCCACCAAAGAAAUCCCCUUCAUUAGCAUUAUUAUUUAGCCUCCUCGCGAUUAUAGCUCCCAUGUUGAAACUUGUAUCACCCGUUACUGAGCUCUUAAGAAUACUAAGGUUAGGUGCGCAGAGGUGACAAUGCUCAAUCUUGCCGUUAAUGCAUCUACCUAUGAAGAGGGCAAAGUAAUGCAAGGUAGGAAAAUGAAUGCUCCCCAUGGUAGCCUGCGUAAUAUCUCUAGUUUCUCCGACAGUUAUACUAGAGAUAAAAUCUCUAACCGAAGACUUAGGAGGAUCAUUGAGACUACUCCAAUCAGGUAUCUUGCAAAUUCUACUGAAAUCCUCUAAAUACAUGGUAUACCAUUUGUCAUACAGAUCAAACAGUAUGGAUGUGUCACGACCAGCUGAAAAUUUGAAUCUACGAACAAAAGAGGCAGUGAGAGUAGUAUACUGUUCACAUUUAUCGGAGAUGAAUUCUUCGAGCCCGGCGUUGUGAACAAAUGUAUCAAACUCGUCUUUGAAACCUGCAUCAAUCAUGAAUUCAUCAGAAGACCAUUCACAUGGUUGUACCUGUGCGUUCCUCGGUUGGUAAGGAUCGGGCUCCCGAAUCGCAAGAUGGGGACCUCUUUUGCUCGAGGAACCACCAUGAUAGUUUCUCCUGAACAUCUUCCUUUUCUGAAAUUUUUAGUGACUCAAAGGAAAAGUGAACAAGGCUCAACAAAACUCAUAGCAAUUACUCCAACAAGUGCCUAGAUGACGUAUCAUGCAUCAAAACUACUUGGGACCAGCUAAAAUUAGCAUGCAAAGCUCAAGAACAGGGUCACCAAGGCAGCAAAAAUAUGCGACGAAUAAGGCACUAGAGAAAAAACUAAUUGGACCAAUGAAGGAGUCACAUACCAAGGAGAAAUUUCUCCAAAACAGUUUGGUGAAUGGGGCUUUGCACAAGGAGAUCGAAAAUCGCAGCAAGAAGAGCAAGAACACGGGUUUGAGCUGCGGAAUGAUUUUUUUCUGGAGGUAGGAGAAGGAGAUGGGAGCUGGAAUAAGUGGAGGGGGCCACGUGGGCCCCACAAGCCUGGUAGGUGCGGCCAGGGGUGUGCCCGCGCCUCCUGGGCUUGUGGCCCACUGGUGCAUCCCCGUGACUAGCUCUUUGUCUCAGAAUUUUUCAAAAAUUCUAGAAAAAAUCAUACUUGAUUUUCAGGGCAUUUGAAGAACUUUUAUUUUUGGGACACUUUUCUAAGGGACGCAAAAAGCAGAAAACGGGAAAAACUAAACCUAAAUCUAUCAUUUUUCUUCUAAACGAUCGAAGGUAAAAGUUCGGAACACAGGUUUGUGACUCUUAGAUUCAUCCAUCUCAUGGUCAUCAGAAGAAAUCUGUCAAUGAGGUUGAUCAAGUCUCCUUGACAAACUUUUUUCGAUUCGCAUAAAACCGGAGACUUUUCGAAUAGUCACUAGGUUACCUCAAUGGGGAUGUGCAUAUCCCUGAUAAGCAAAUCAUACUUCAUCUUAAUAGUAGGUAUAGGGCAUUCAAAGCUCCCAAUAAGAAUUGAUGAAGUUUUUUCAAUAGCAUUGAUGCAAUGUACUCGAUAUUGUUUCUUUGGAAAGUGCACCGUAUGCUCAUUACCAUUAACAUGGAAAGUGACAUUGCCUUUGUUGCAAUCAAUAACAACCCCUACAGUGUUUAAAAAGGGUCUUCCAAGGAUGACCGCCAUGGCAUCAUCCUCGGGAAUAUCCAGAAUAACAAAGUAAGUUAAGAUAGUAAAGUUAGCAACCACAACAGGCACAUCCUCGCAAAUGCCGAUAGGGAAAGCAGUUGAUUUGUCGACCAUUUUCAAGGAGAUUUCAGUGGGUGUCAACUUAUCCAAUUCAAGUCUACAGUAAAGAGAGAGAGGCAUAACACUAACACCAGCUCGAAGAUUGCAUAAAGCAGUUCUAACGUGGUUGCCUUUAAUGGAGCAAGGUACAGUGAGCACUCCGGGAUCACCUAGUUUCUUAGGAGUUCCACCCUUGAAGGUGUAAUUAGCAAGCAUGGUGGAAAUCUCAACCUCAGGUAUCCUCCUUUUAUUAGUCACAAUAUCCUGCAUGUACUUAGUAUAAGGAGACAUUUUGAGCAUAUCUGUCAAACGCAUUUGCAAAAAGACAGGUCUAAUCAUUUCAACAAAGCGCUCAAAGUCUUCAUCAUCCUUUUUCUUGGAUGGUUUGGGAGGAAAGGGCAUGGGUUUCUGAACCCAUGGUUCUCUUUCUUUACCAUGCUUCCUAGCAAUGAAGGCAUUCUUAUCAUAUCUCCUAUUCUUAGGUUGUGGGUUAUCAAGAACCCUGGUUAUCAACAGGUUCAAUCUCCACAUCCUUAUCAUUGCUAGGUUGAGCAUCAUCAUGAACACCACUAUCGAUAUUAUCACUAGGCUCAUGUUCAUCACCAGAUUGUGUUUCAGCAUCAGAAACAGAGAUAUCAUUUGGAUUCUCAGGUGCAACAGCAGCAGGUUUGCUAGCAUGCAAGUUCCUAUCAUCUUUCUUUUUCUUCCUAUUACUAGGACGACUAGGUGCAUCAGUGCUAACUCCUUGAGAAUCUUGUUCAAUUUUCUUAGGAUGGCCCUCAGGAUACAAAGGUUCCUGGGUCAUUCUACCGCCUCUAGUGACGACUCUAACAGAAUUGUCAUUCAACUCAUUGAGCAAGUCAUUUUGAGCCUUAAGUACUUGUUCUACUUGAGUGGUGACCGUGGAGGCAUGUUUACUCAAAAGCUUAAGGUCAUUGACAUUUCUAUCCACACACGCACUUAAAUGACUCAACAUACGAGCAUUAUGUUCCAAUUGUCUGCUAACGUAGUCAUUGAAACUUUGUUGUUUGGCAAUAAAGUUAUCAAAUUCAUCUAAGCAUAAGCUAGCAGGUUUAUCAAAAGGAAUAUCACUCUCAUUGAAUCUACAAAGAGAAUUUACCUCUACUACCUGUGUCAGGUUAUCAAGACCAUGGAUUUCUUCGAUAGGUGGUAGAUUCUUAACAUCUUUAGAUUUAAUACCUUUCUCUUGCAUAGAUUUCUUGGCUUCUUGCAUAUCUUCAGGACUGAGGAAUAGAAUACCUCUUGUCUUCGGAGUUGGCUUCGGAGGUGAUUCCGGAAUAGUCCAAGCAUUCUCAUUGCACAAGAUAUUAUUCAAUAGAAUCUCAGCUUGUUCCACAGUUCGUUCCCUGAAAACACAACCAGCACAACUAUCUAGGUGGUCCCUAGAAGCAUCGGUCAGUCCAUUAUAGAAGAUAUCAAGUAUUUCAUUCUUCUCAAGAGGGUGACCAGGUAAAGCAUUCAGUAACUGGACAAGCCUCCCCCAAGCUUGUGGGAGACUCUCUUCUUCAGCUUGCACAAAGUUAUAUAUUUCCUUCAAGGCAACUUGUUUCUUAUGGGUUGGAAAAUAUUUUUCAGAGAAGUAGUAGAUCAUAUCCUGGGGACUACGCACACAACCAGGAGCAAGAGAAGUGAACCAAGUCUUAGCAUCAUCCUUUAGUGAGAAAGGAAACAGCUUAAGGAUAUAGUAGUGGCGGAUCUUUUCCUCACUCGUGAAUAGGGUGGCUAUAUCGUGCAACUUAGUAAGAUGUGCUACAACCGUUUUAGACUCAUAACCAUGAAAAGGAUCAGAUUCGAACAAAGUGAUUAACUUAGGAUCGACGGGGAAUUCAUAAUCAUUAUCGGUCACAAAGAUAGGCGAGGUAGCAAACUUAGGAUCGUAUUUCAUUCUAGCGUUCAGAGAUUUUUCUUUCCACCUACGUAGUAAUUUCUCAAGAUCAUAGCUAUCCUUACAAGCAAGAAAGUCCUCAGCUAUCUCUCCCUCCAUAACAUAACCCUCAGGUAUAUCAGGCAAUUCAUAUCUUGGAGAGCUAGUUCUAACAAGUGAAACAACAGGUUCUACUUCAAUAAUUUCAGCAGUUUCAAAAGUAUCAUCACAUUCAGCAGCUACUCUAGCAAUUUGUGCAUCAAGGAAUGCACCUAGUGGCAAAGCAGUAUCAAGCAAAGCAUCAUCACAAGCAUCAUGGAUAGCAGAAGUAGCAUCAUCAAGCACAGGCGACACGUCAAAAUUUCUAGCAGGAGGUGGUGUCGCAAACUUACUCAUAACUAAAGGUGAAUCAAGUGCAGAGCUAGAUGGCAGUUCCUUACCUGUCCUCGUAGUUGAGGGCAAGACUUUAGUUUUUGGAUCUUUCGGAUUCCUCAUAGUGAUCAACAUAUGUAAAUCCCAGGUGACUCAGAGAAUAGAGCUAUGCCUCCCAGGCAACGGCGCGAGAAAAUAGUCUUGAUAACCCACAAGUAUAGGGGAUCGCAAUAGUUUUCGAGGGUAGAGUAUUCAACCCAAAUUUUUUGGUUCGACACAAGGGGAAGCAAAAGAAUAUUCUCGAGUAUUAGCAGUUGAGUUAUCAAUUCAACCACACCUGAAAGACUUAGUAUCUGCAGCAAAGUUUCAGUAGCAAAAUAGUGUGAUAGCAACGGUAGCAACGGUAAACAUAGCAGCAGUGACAACAACAGUUGUAACAGUAGCAGCAGUAACAGCAGUAGCGGCAAAGUAACGUGGCAAGGACCAGUAGGAAAAACUCGUAGGCAUUGGAUCGGUGAUGGAUAAUUAUGCCGUAUGACAUUCAUCAUGCAACAAUUAUAACAUGGAGAGAUAUGUAACUAGCUCCAGUUCGUCAAUGUAAUGUAGGCAUGUAUUCUGUAUAUAGUCAUACGUGCUUAUGGAAAAGAACUUGCAUGACAUCUAUUGUCCAUCCCUCCCGUGGCAGCGGGGUCCUAAUGGAAACUAAGGGAUAUUAAGGUUCUCCUUUUAAUAGAGAACCGGAACAAAGCAUUAGCACUUAGUGAAUACAUGAACUCCUCAUACUAUGGUCAUCUCCGGGAGUGGUAACGGCUAUUGUCACUCCGGGGUUGCCGGGUCAUAACACAUAGUAGGUGACUACAACUUGCAAGAUAGGAUCAAGAACACACAUAUAUUGACGAGAACAUAAUAGGUUCAGAUCUGAAAUCAUGGCACUCGGGCCCUAGUGACAAGCAUUAAGCAUAGCCAAGUAGUAGCAACACCAAUCUCAGAACAUAGUGGAUACUAGGGAUCAAUCCCCAUCAAAACUAACUCGACUACAUGAUAGAUCUCAUCCAACCCAUCACCGUCCAGCAAGCCUACGAUGAGAUUACUCACGAACAAUGAAGAGCAUCAUGGAAUUGGCGAUGAAGUAAGGUUGGUGAUGACGAUGGCGACGAUCUCCCCUCUCCGGAGCCCAGAACGGACUCCAGAUCUGCCCUCUAGAGGAAGAACAGGUGGUGGCGCUGCCUCCGUAUCGUAAAACGCAAUGAACUCUUCUCCUUGAUUUUUUUCUGGACGGAAGGGACUAAAUAGAGCUGGAAUUGGAGGCAGCGGAGCCCCGAGGGCCCCACAAGCCUGCUAGGCGCGGCUAGGGGGGCCCGCGCCUCCUCGGCUUGUGGGCUCCUCGCUCCACGUCUCUGGCUGAUUCUUGCGCCAGUAUUUUUUAGAUAUUCCACAAAAAUUCUCGUAAAUUUCCAGUUCAUUCUGAUAACUUUUAUGUCUGCGAAAAAACAACACCUUGGCAAUUUUGCUGAAAACAGCGUUAGUCCGGGUUCGUUCCAUUGAAAUCAUGUAAAUUAGAGUCCAAAACAAGGGCAAAAGAGUUUGGAAAAGUAGAUACAAUGGAGACGUAUCAGAUACCAGUGGCCCCUGGUAGUCAUGUCACUUGGUCCGGGGGCAUGGGUGUUUUUGUCUGGGACUGGAGGGGUUAGCUCCGUGCUACUGCAACAAAAGACCUUCCAAUGGUGCCAUAAAUAAGUGUGUUGAUAGGAUACUCUUCUUGUCUUGAUACUCCUCAGCAACGCCACCAGGAAUCCUUCUGAUACUGCUACGCCUUUAGGGACUUCCUUGGCAAAUAUGCACAGGAUUCCCCCGUGGCCUUGGAGCCUUGCAUUGGUGUUCCCUCGAAGCGGAAAGAGNNNNNNNNNNNNNNNNNNNNNNNNNNNNNNNNNNNAGAGUGAUGUAGCACAGCGGCGGUAAGUAUUUCCCUCAGUUUUGAGAACCAAGGUAUCGAUCCAGAGGGAGGAUCGUGUCUUAAGAUCUUAAGAUCUUCAUCUUUAUUGGAUGACUCACCACUAGCUUUAGGAACAAAAGCAGACUUGACGGUCUUUUUGAGAGUGAGAUUUGGAGUAUUUUGCACAGCGGCAAAAGCGGAACCCAAGUUGGUUAUGACAUCUUCUAGUUUGCCAAUUCUAGAGGAAUCAUUAAAUAUAGGUUCCUUCUCCCUUAAAUUUUUCAAAACCAUUCCCACUUUGGAUCCGUACUGAGUAAUUUGAUUGUGGAUCUUUCUAUCCAAACCCUCAAUAAGUUCAAUUGUGGCAAUUUUGUUUUCAAUAGCGUCAAGCCUUUGCAUCACGUGUUCCAAGGUCAAGGUAGUUCCAUUAACCAUGAGCGGCGGUGAGCCUACAAAAUUCAGGAUAGCUCCAUAGGAGUCAACAGUAUGGCUCCCUAGAAAACUCCCGCCUACGAUGGUAUCAAGAAUAUAUCUAUUCCAAGGAGAGAUUCAAACAUAAAAACUGCGAAGAAGAACGGUAGUGGAUUGCUUACGAGUAGAUCUACUUUGAGCAUUGCAAAUCCUGUACCAAGCGUCCUUUAAACUUUCUUCCUCAAUCUGCUUGAAAUUGAGAACUUCGUUCUCACGGGUAUUGUCUGGAGUGGUGGGUCUAGCCAUUGAUGGACUAUCCCACACACAAACGAGCAGGAAGUAAGUGAGUGAAACGGGCAAAAGAGAACGGCAAAAAGGCAAAAGAAAACAGCAAGGGAGAAAGGCAAAACAAAACGGCAAAUGUGAAGUGGGGGAGAGGAAAACGAGAGGCAACUGGCAAAAAAAGGUAAAUGCAAGAGAUAAGUUUGUGACACCUACUUGGAUAGAUCUUGACUUGAUCUCUCCUCGGCAAGCGAUCCUCCUCCCGAGAAACGGCGCCAGAAAUACUUCUGCUACUGCAACAAAAGACCUUCCAACGGUGCCAGAAAUAAGCGUGUUAACUGGAGACUAUUCUUGUCUUGAUACUGCUCAGCAACAGCGCAAGGAAUCCUUCUGCUACGCCUACGCCUUUAGGGACUUCCAUGGAAAAUAUGCAAAGGAUUCCCCUGUGGCCUUGGAGCCUUGCGUUGGUGUUCCCUUGAAGCGGAAAGGGUGAUGUAGCACAGCGACGGUAAGUAUUUCCCUCAGUUUGAGAACCAAGGUAUCAAUCCAGCAGAAGAGUAAACCAAGGUAUCGAUCCAAAUGGAGGAUCGCGUCAAGUCACAAGUACCUGCACAAAC